RNAcentral lists this ribosomal RNA (163 nucleotides) under uncultured bacterium. RNAcentral describes it as "partial 16S ribosomal RNA". It matches the Rfam family "Bacterial small subunit ribosomal RNA", at positions 355 to 509 of the family's 1533-position model. The record is from RNAcentral.
UAGGGAAUCUUCCACAAUGGACGAAAGUCUGAUGGAGCAACGCCGCGUGAGUGAAGAAAGGGUUUCGGCUCGUAAAGCUCUGUUGGUAGUGAAGAAAGAUAGAGGUAGUAACUGGCCUUUAUUUGACGGUAAUUACUUAGAAAGUCACGGCUAACUACGUGCC